AUGGCUACUAAGGUGAAGCCAGGAUGCAAGUGCCAUCCCACAUGGAAGAGGUGUGCAGGCAGGAAAGGAAGGAGAGAAGAGGAAAAGCGGCUGCUUCAGGGUACAGAAGGCCUCUUCCAGGAGUCAGCUUUCUGCUCCCUCCCAGUUCUGCCAAAGUCAUCACUUCUUGUAGGCUCUGCAGAGCACCACUGCUGUGGAAUAUCCAGCCUUGGGUGUUUGAGUCACCAACAUAAUUUAACAUUAAUUAACAACCAACAUAAUUUAAAAUUAAUGUAGUAGCCUUAUUAUUAUUCUUUUAUUGUCAGACUCAGAAAUAAGCUUCAGUAGUGUUUAGAUUUCUUUUUCAGUUUAAAGGGAUGACAUGUUAAUUUUUAUUUCCUCUGAUGAAGAAAUACUAAGAAAAAACAAGCAGAUAAAAUGAAGCAAGUAUUUGUGCGGGUAUGAGGAAAUAUCUAGGUUAGAUAUAGGUCAGAAAUAUCUUAAAAUCAGCACUUUAAAUCCAGGGAAAUCUGAAUUUAGGUUUUACUACAAGCAAAUAUGUUAAGAUGAAUACACACAACUUUUCUUCUGGCUUAUACUGCCAUCACAAGUGGGGGAUGCUGGGGGAGAAAGAAUGCAAAUGCCAAUCUCGAGACUUUAAAAGUCUAAUUUAAUACUGUGAGCAAUGCCUAAGUCACAGUUAUACAUGGAUCAUAACCCAUAAAAUUAUUAUGGGGUGAGUGCAUCACUGCUCCAAACUGCUAUCAAAGAGUGAUUAUAGGAUUCUGUCAAACUAGAGGGCAUAUCAAGGAGGAGCCCAUGAGUCUCUCCUCUUGACCCAGUAAUAGGCAAUACCAGCAUUAAAAGUUAAGAUGAUGGACAAUAAUCUUCAAAAAUCUACAGAUGACACCAAAGGGGAAAACAACAGAAAAUGCUUUUUAAAGUGUCCAACUCAAAGUGAUUUUGAUAACUUGGAGAAAUAGCCCCAAACCACUGAGGUGAUAUUUCAUAAAGUUUAUUACCAAAGUAGUGUAUUUAAAAAGAAUGACAGAAAUUAAAAAUAGAGGACAAACUGCAUGCUGCAGGAAGGGUGGAAGGGGUGAGUGUUUAUUGUGGACUAGAGACUAAAGACAAGUUGAGUAACAUAAUGUAUAUGCAGAAAUUGGAAACUCAUUUUAUAUUCUCAACAUUAGUCAUCUCUCAGAAGGAAUACUGACAUCCAACUGCUCAGAGAAAAGCCAGACAAAUUCACAAAGAAUAAUGUUUGUAAGAAAAUACAAAGAACAAAAGCUUUAAA
Molecule: long non-coding RNA, 1276 nt
Filed under: Cyanistes caeruleus (blue tit)
Lineage: Eukaryota; Metazoa; Chordata; Aves; Passeriformes; Paridae
Description: lncRNA (ENSCCEG00000012710.1)
Source: RNAcentral